GACGAACGCUGGCGGCGUGCCUAAUACAUGCAAGUCGAACGCAUUUUCUUUCACCGUAGCUUGCUACACCGAGAGAAACUGAGUGGCGAACGGGUGAGUAACACGUGGGUAACCUGCCCAUAAGCGGGGGAUAACACUUGGAAACAGGUUCUAAUACCGCAUAAUUCGAUUUACCGCAUGGAAAAUGGAUGAAAGGCGCUUUUGCGGCACUGAUGGAUGGACCCGCGGUGGAUUGGCUAGUCGGUGGGGUAACGGCCUACCAAGGCUGCGAUGCAUAGCCGAACGGAGAGGGCGGGUAGCCACACUGGGACGGAGACACGGCACAGAGUGCCAGAGGAAGGAGCCGGGGGGAAUCGUGGGGAAGGGGCGGAAGGCUGACCGAGCUACGCCGAGGGAGGGAAGAAGGAUGUCGGAUCGGAAAACUCGGUUGUUAGAGAAGAAAAAGGAUGAGAGUGGAAAGUUCAGCGCUUGACGGUAACUAAUCAGAAAGCCACGGCUAACUACGUG
This 507-nucleotide ribosomal RNA is filed under the name uncultured bacterium. Its description in RNAcentral is "partial 16S ribosomal RNA". It matches the Rfam family "Bacterial small subunit ribosomal RNA", at positions 28 to 507 of the family's 1533-position model. The record is from RNAcentral.